GAAAUUUUAAUCUUUUUCCUGGGCCACUGAGAUUGGAAUAAACAUGAACUCUGAUUGUUUCUAUGAUCUGAAGACUCAGUUGCCGGGGGUUUGAGUUUUAUGGAGGAUCUCCAGUUUUGGAACUCUCUUCUCCAUACCCAACAGAUCCCAGAUUUAUAAGCUAUGAGAUUCUAAAAGGAAAGAAAAAGGUUAAGGAAGAAUUAGCUUCCUUUCCAUGUUUUUAAAAGGCUUAUGAGUGAUUCGUGUGAGGACUGCAAGCUUAUCUUGUUCAAGGUAUUUACUGGUUCUUCUUAGUGGUUGAGUGGAUCUAAGUUUGAGUGACAGACUGCUCCUUUGUGAUUGGACCACAGCAGCAGAAUGUGUGGAAAGAGGGAUGUGAGGAGCACAUAUUAUCUCAAAGUCCUUCCACAAUACGACCUCCACUCUCCAGGAGCUGAACAAUACUGGUCAGUGUGUUACCUGGACCAGCUGGAUGAUGACACCCAGUGCUUACCUGUCAGCAAGGAGGCCGCAGGUUGCUGGUAGCAAAAUGAUCUGCCUCAGACCACUUUAGACCCUUCCAUCAACUUUAGUCCUGAAUUGUCUCUUAUGAAAGUUAACAAAAUUGCUUCUUAAAAAUAAUCUUAGUCUCAAUUUUGCUUCCUGCAUUGUCUUUCUUCAAGUCUCAUUAUAUUCCUUUUUAACGUGUCUACACUGCGCCUUCUUCUCUUCUAGUUAUCUCUUGAAUAGGUGCUCAGACUUCUGCUUUGAUGGCAUCUUGCUUUGCAUUUAAACAGCUCCUAAAAAUGUCUCAGCAAUGCUGCCAAGUUAAUCUUCCGUUCUGGCUUUUUCAAUCCCUGAACCACGUGAUUUUGAUUUGUAUACUGGUAAUGUCAAAAGUAAUUUCUUCUUUAUUUUUUAAUGAAAUAGUCAAAAAAAGGAAAAAAUUUAAAAAUUGGACCAUAGGGAAAUGGAUUCAUGGAUUAUGGUGUAUAACAAUGAUACAAUCUGGAGCACACAUAAGAAUUAUUUUAGAAGAGAGUUAACGAUUUGGACAACGGUCACAACAAGAUAGAAGUGUGGUUAAAAAAUACAUGUGAAGUGUCACUACAUUUACACUAAUAAAUACACGUCUGGAUAUUGAUGGAAAGACUGAAAGAGUGUACAUCAGGAAGUUAAUCAUAGCUAUCUCUGAGUGAUAGAAUUAUGGGGGACCUUAUUUUCUUCUUUAGGCUUUGUUUCCCCUGUAUUGCUUGAAUGUUCUAAAUGAAAGUAUUUUAUUUUAGAGUCAGGAAGAGUUAUUUUAGAAAAUGGGCAGAAGUAUAUUUUGGCACUUCCUUUUAUUAUUCUUAAACAUUUAUCAAAAUAUAGACCUAUAGCUAGAAAGGUGUCACAACUCUAAAUAAAGGAGCUGAUGAAAAUUUUUUGCUGUGUGUAAGAAAUGAGCCAAACAUGCAGAUUUCUGGAUGGCUUCUACUGUUUUUGUAUAUGUGCUACUGGAAUGAGUACUGGAUGAUUUCUACUGUCUGAGACUCUACAGUAAUUGCAUGACACAUGGUUCGUUUAUGUUUCAGUAAUUCUAGAAACAGUAUCAUGUAUGCAACUUCCUUUUCUUGAUAGAAAAGAUAGCAAAAGAUGUGGUAUCAUCUUUCAUUUGAGAUCAUGUUCAAGGGCAUUAGUGCCUGUGAAAAUCCUUCAGCAGCAUUUCUUUCCUUUAACUGCUUCAGUGUUCUACCCUAAUCCUUUCUUUGUUCACUGUCUCUUUUAUUGGUUUAUCUUUUGUCAACCUCAGAACCCUUUCACAAGCAGUGACAUAUGCCAGAGGUGCCGAUCUUGUCCUGAAAGAUAAUAUUAAGAUAUUUGCAUGGGUCCUUCCACUAUUCUGUGGCUCCCAUACCAAAUUUUGUGCAGAGCCCCUACACCCUACUUCUAGAUCAAGGGACAAAUAGACAGAAAGUCCCAGGCAGGUUAUCGUGGGAUGACCCUGAGUCAAAUCUCAAGAACUUCUGCACAUUCCGAUGUAGGGUGGGUAUGAGAAAGGUGGAUGAGAAGUAGAGUCCUUGAGGGGGAUCUGGACAUGGCAGAGCAGACUGGCAGGCCUCUCACAGCUUCCAGGAGUCAUGAAGAAAACACAGAAAUGAUCUGCAAGAUGAUGUAGAAAGCCUCUGAGCAUCUAGAAUGACUUCAGGAGUGCCCAGUGAGAAGAUGAUGAUCACAUACAAAGUACUCAUCACUGUUCUCUGGCAUCUGAGCUCUCUGAUAGAAGUAGAAGAGUUUAAUCAACUUUAAGAUCUAGUUGCAACUGACGAUCUUGUUGCAAACUGAAACUGAAUCAACUGGGACAGAAUUUCUCACAUCUGUAGAAUGGGGUUGGAAAAAGAAAAUUAGUUAUUUAUGGUAAAAUGAAGAUUUUUUUGCAUGCUUAGGUGUGUGGUCUGAGAAUCAUAGGGUAGGAGUUGUUCUUAAAUAGAUACUAUUCAUAUAUGUAGUAAAUACGUGCAUAGAUACAUUUCCUUGUGUGAAUUCCUUCCACAUCAUUUUUGGAUAUAUCAAAUGUAUACCUUUAAAAAAUUUGUACAUGCUUACAGUACACAAUGAUGACAUUCAUCAGGAGGAAUUAGUGCAUAAUAAUGACAUAUCUUGAUUCUGUUUUUAUUCUGCUUUAUCCUUCCCCUCCCUCCAGCUCUUGGAUCUAUUUAUUUGUAUGUUUACAUAAUUACAUUCCUCAUAGAGACUUGGUACACGUACACACACAUUCCAAUUCUCCCUUCCUAUUUAAUCUCAUUUCUUGCCCCUCCCUCCUCUCUCUACUUCUUGGUUCUCCUUCCACAUCAGAAACCCAAAAUAUAAAUAAAAAGAAAAAUAAAAGAUAGACAUUAGGAAAUAGAAAGAUCUUUAGUAUACAGAAACGGAUCCAUUCUUUCUAUAUCAAUGUGCAGGACUAUCACAUCUAAAAGCAAUGAAUUAAAACUUCUUUAGAGGAACUGAGGAAGAAGAAAGCACUAAGUAUGUAUCUUUAUUAUUUAAAACAAGAAAGACAGAAGAGAAUUCAGCAUUUUCUCUAGGGUGAAAGGAGGUGUUUUUCAUCCCUACGAGCCAAAAAUUACUCACUAGGUUUCCCAAGAAGCUAAAUGAGACGGAGCACCACACAAUUUCAGUCAAAUUCUCCCUCAACUACAAAUUAAAGGACUUUGGGACAGCGUCUGACUCAGCCCAUGGUUAGUCCUGUGCUUCACAAAUUCAAAAGCCUUUAGAACCCUGGUGAAUGAUACAAUGAGUAAAGAUGUGGAGGGCACAAAAGGAGAGGUAGGUGGGAGCUCUGAUGAGCCGCUCCAAGAUCUAACGGGUAACCGGCAGCCAGCCAAAUGCAGAUUCUAGGAAAGUGUUUACAGGAAAGUGGAAGAAGUGCAGGUUGAUGCAAGUGGGAGGCUGGCAUCUCCUGGGAGUGAGGGAAAAAGACCAGGAGGAAGCUGAAGAGAGAAACAAGCCAGGAAGCCAGGGGCGAGGCAUGUCUUACACCUGCUGUACUGUCUAGAAUAAAACAGUGAUGAAUUAA
This is a long non-coding RNA of Cavia porcellus (domestic guinea pig), 3535 nucleotides long. RefSeq lists it as uncharacterized. NCBI's taxonomy places the organism in Eukaryota, Metazoa, Chordata, Mammalia, Rodentia, Caviidae. The record is from RefSeq and is a predicted model, not a curated record. The transcript is spliced from 4 exons.